RNAcentral lists this long non-coding RNA (462 nucleotides) under Chinchilla lanigera (long-tailed chinchilla). RNAcentral's name for it is "lncRNA (ENSCLAG00000027479.1)". The record is from RNAcentral. Lineage: Eukaryota; Metazoa; Chordata; Mammalia; Rodentia; Chinchillidae.
CUGGAAUUCAGCAGCAGUGGAUGAGGAAGCAGCUGGGGGCUGGCAGAAUCAGAGGAAGAAUUCACAGUACAGACAGCACACAGGACAGCUCUGAGGCCAUCCUAGUCCACGUGUUCAAAGGUAUCAUGCAAGCUCCAGCCCAUGCGAAGGGGAAAAGAGGCUUCCUUUCAAGGAUAGAAGCAGAAGUUGAAUACAUUCAUUCUCUUCACAGCCCCCAGUCAUGAUUUAGUCUUGUUAUGUUCACAACUGCAAGGUAAGGUGGGGAAAUAUUGACUUUGGUGGGGGAGAAACAUGCCUACCUGAAACUGGAAGUGCUGUCUCACUAAGGAAAAGCAAAUGGAUGUAGGAGAUUUAGCUGCCUGUCACAGCACCCAAACCACUAGUCACAGGUGAUGGUAAAAAGGAGACUAAGGUCAGGAUGAAAGGGAAAGAGAAGGUAAGAGGGAAGGUGAGUAUGAUCAA